UACGAAGGGGGCUAGCGUUGCUCGGAAUCACUGGGCGUAAAGGGUGCGUAGGCGGGUCUUUAAGUCAGGGGUGAAAUCCUGGAGCUCAACUCCAGAACUGCCUUUGAUACUGAGAUCUUGAGUUCGGGAGAGGUGAGUGGAACUGCGAGUGUAGAGGUGAAAUUCGUAGAUAUUCGCAAGAACACCAGUGGCGAAGGCGGCUCACUGGCCCGAUACUGACGCUGAGGCACGAAAGCGUGGGGAGCAAACAGGAU
Molecule: ribosomal RNA, 254 nt
Filed under: uncultured bacterium
Lineage: Bacteria
Description: partial 16S ribosomal RNA
Rfam family: Bacterial small subunit ribosomal RNA
Source: RNAcentral